CCUACGGGAGGCUGCAGUGAGGAAUAUUGGUCAAUGGCCGGAAGGCUGAACCAGCCAUGCCGCGUGAAGGGCAGGGGCCUAAGGGCGUUAAACUUCUUUUGUGCGGGAGCAAGAAUGGUCACGGGUGGCCAGACGAGAGUACCGUACGAAUAAGCAGCGGCGAACCCCGUGCCAGCAGCAGCGGUAAGACGGGGGAUGCAAGCGUUAUCCGGAUUUAGUGGGUUUCAAGGGUGCGUAGGCUGGGAGGUAAGUCAGCGGGGAACGGCCCCCGCUCAACGGGGUGAAGUGCCAUUGAUACUGCCUUGCUGGAUUGCGGCUGCCGUGGGUGGUAUGUGUGGUGUAGCGGU
This 347-nucleotide ribosomal RNA is filed under the name uncultured bacterium. RNAcentral describes it as "partial 16S ribosomal RNA". It matches the Rfam family "Bacterial small subunit ribosomal RNA", at positions 338 to 682 of the family's 1533-position model. The record is from RNAcentral.